CUUGCAGACUGAUUAAUCUACCCUUGUCUGUCUUCAUACUCUUUUACCCAUUUUUAUCAGGGCAUAAAAUAAGUUAGGAAGUAGGUCCUAUAUCUGAUGGCCAAAAUGAGGCAUGUUCUAUUGCCUCAUUUUUGGGUCUCAUAAAUAUGGAAUUUUUUCAGGGGUAUGUCUGAGCUCUUCUGCUCAACCUCCUGCCAGCUCUGUAUUUCCCAGUCUUCAUGAUGGGUAUCAAGAAAAGGGAAAAUAAGAAAGACUUGGCAUUUGAGUUUUGAAGGUUAGAGCUACAUAUUUGAUGAUCAAGAGCUCUCAAACUGCACCUGGAUACUAAUUCUGAAUGGAAACUUACAAUUGUAAGGUGGACAAAUCCUUUUUGUGUGAGGAAGAUGUGGCUGUUGGGAGAGUCAAGUAAUUGAAUGACGUGAAUUUCCUGGAGUUUCCAUAAGUUCCUGUAAAUUUAGCCUCCAACUGAAAUAAACCAACUGAAUGUAAGACAUCAGACCCUAAAGAACCAAAGUUGUUAUUUCUGUGGAAGACCAGCCAACCUAUUCUCACAGCUGAAACAAUGGAUCUGGCCUGCAGAGUGUUAAGGCAUUCUCCAAGUUUCAAAACAAGAGUACACCAUUUUGAAGGCCUAUAAAUAGAAAGAAUUUUUCAAAUAUUAAUUCAGUAAUGACCUCUGUCUUUGGAAAAGAUAAUUGCAAUGUGUUACUGCGAACCAAUUUAAACCUGUAUUUCUCAUUGCAUUUAAUAUUUAAUUUUGUUUUUUAUCAUUAUAUAUCAACAGUUCUUUCUGGAGCAAAGCAAUCCUAUUUGACUUUUUUUUUUUUUAACCUUAUAGUGCACACACACAUGUAUGUGUAGGGUUAUUUAAACAAGGAAACAUUUACAUCAAAAUGUGCAAAGAGUUAUCCUGGAAUAGAAAUGCUGAAAAUAUAUUUUCAAGAAGUUUUAAAAUUCUAGGCUGGCCUCAAUGUAUUCAGUAGCAUGCCAGAAACAGAAAAAAAAAUUUAAUCUCUCCAUUUGCUUAUUCCUAUUAACAUAUAUAGAAAAAAAACUUGCUCUAAACCUAAUGCCUAUGCGAUAUGUUUGUUUCCUGAUGCUGAUGAUAAAUCAUAACCGGGCACUUGGUUAUAUUUUUUAAUGUUCUACAUUUCUAGCACUGCUACUGUAUUCACAAUGAGCUUUAUAUCUGACAGUAAUUUUAUUUUCAGGUUCAGUCAUAUGAUGCCUUUCUAUAGGAAUAGGUUCUAUCACAGGAACAAAUUAUUCAAAUCUAGUUUAACGGACUCAGCAAUUCUCCUCAGUUUUAUCUUGGGCAUUUUGUAUUCCUUUGCCUAAACCUAGUGGCUAUGUAACAAUUCAAUUACCAAAGUCCUUCAUCCAGAAAGUGCUGUUGAUUUCCAGUAAUUCUUAUUCUGUUUGAUUUCUUUUUUUUUUCCUCCUAGUUUAACACAUGCCAGUUGGUGUCGACUGAGUUAAAAAUCUUGAAAUAAGCCUGGCACUGUGUCAGUACAUAGGUUAAAAAAUGAAACAAAAAAAUUUAAUAAAAUAUACGCUAGAAAUGGAAAAUAAGAUUAGCAGUGGCAUUUCUUGUCAUAAGGACAUUUUCUGUCUAUGCACACAAAAUAAAACCAGCUCAGUGUAGCUGAAGAAGAGAGGAAAGAGAGAGGUGGUAUAAAUUGAAAGACGAAAAGGCAGAGACUGAGUGUACAGAAGCGCGUUGAGAGCAUGCAGUCAGCUGGCAAGAAAAGGCAACUCGAAGAGCCUCAGAAGGUAAAACCUCAGUUGGCAGAUAAAGUGGGUAAGAAGCAAGUUUUGAAAUAAAAUAGCAAUAGCAUAAGCAACUUGAAGGAAGAUGAAAAGAGCAAGGUGAUAAAAGUAUGCAAGAGUCUUUGGAGAUUAUUAGUAAUUUUAGGGAAUUACAAUGAUGAAAAGUUAUAAGGGAAAAAGACUUUACAUAUUCUUUAAUAAAAGAAAAUUACCUGUCAAAAUCUGUCUGCAUAGACACUAGUAUUAGAUUCUUGUUCUUCAAGAAAAAGGCAUGUCUGCUGGUCAGGCUGAGGUAUCAUCUAUCCUCUAUUUCUCUAAAUAAUGUUUUUCUGAUAAAAUAUGCAAAUACACAAUACACAUAUAUAUUUUGUGUGUAUAUUAUGUGUAUAUGUGUGUGUGUGUACAUACUUAUACAUAAAAUAAACACUCUGGAACUAAAAUUUCAAAGAAAGUCAAAGAAAAUAGACAAUAGUGGAACUCCACAAAACUUACCAGUAACCUGAAAUAGUGUAACAAAUUUAAAAUUAAUUCCCAUAAAUCUUCUACAUACAUUAAUUAUAUCUACAAAUAAUAAAUUCAUUAAAGAUCAGCAAUUUUCUGAUUAAAUUAUUCUAUACAAUAGGUACAUUUAGAUAAGUCAGAUAUAUAUUUGGAGAGGAGACCUGAGAAAACUUCCCUUUGUCAAUGUUGAUUAAAUUCAUCAAAUAAUGAGUUUCUACUUAAAAUGUGGCAAGUGCCCACACACCCUCUUAAUGAUUCCCUUUAGGUAUCUGCAUACCAAGUAACAGAAAUACAUAUAGGUAACAUUUUUGGACAUGUCUAUCCUAUUUUGUACUUUUGUAUUCCGUAAAGAAUCUUAAUAAUAGCCUUCUUUAGAAAGAGCACUGUGGAUUUCAAUACAUCAUCAUAGAAGGUUAAUAAAAAUAGCUAAAAAUUAUUCGGCCCUUACUAUGAAGCAGAUGCCUUUACUGCAGUUGAAAAAACAUAGGACUGGGAAGUUACCUCACUCUUCUGCCUCCUUUAUGUGUAGAUUUCAGGUAGAUUAUAUAAAGUAUUUCUACAUACCGGCCAGGCAUGGUGGCUCACACCUGUAAUC
Molecule: long non-coding RNA, 2866 nt
Filed under: Homo sapiens (human)
Lineage: Eukaryota; Metazoa; Chordata; Mammalia; Primates; Hominidae
Description: HSALNT0328635
Source: RNAcentral